Molecule: ribosomal RNA, 243 nt
Filed under: uncultured bacterium
Lineage: Bacteria
Description: partial 16S ribosomal RNA
Rfam family: Bacterial small subunit ribosomal RNA
Source: RNAcentral
GCGAGGCAGAGCGAAUCGCUAAAAGCCGUCCCAGUUCGGAUUGCAGGCUGCAACCCGCCUGCAUGAAGUUGGAAUCGCUAGUAAUCGCGGAUCAGCAUGCCGCGGUGAAUACGUUCCCGGGCCUUGUACACACCGCCCGUCACACCAUGAGAGUUGGAAAUACCCGAAGCCUGUGAGCUAACUGUAAAGAGGCAGCAGUCGAAGGUAGAGCCAAUGAUUGGGGUGAAGUCGUAACAAGGUACC